UAGCUGGCUAUGCAAAACUUGUGGGUCUCGAGUCUUCACUGAUCUUCACUCAAGAGAGGCACAGCUGAGAACUUCUCCUGCUGUCCCUCUUGGUCCCUCCUGCCAAGGCCUGCCUAUCCCUGCUAGGUCAUGCCACCACUUCUGAUUUAUGUUUGCUAUUCUGGCUCUAACCAAACUGGACUGCUAGUAUAUCCGUAAAGUGUUUGCGAGUGGAUUGAGCAGCCGCUGCUAAUCUGUGAACUGAACUGCUGAUUUCCAGACAACAGAGAUGGGACUUGCUCCAAAGAACCUGUAUCCUUUCUUCGGUUUGGGAAUGUGCAUGAACAUGUAUGAGAGUGCAGGUAUACACAUGCCUCAGCAUGGAGAUCAGAGGACAACCUCAGGAGCCAGUCCUUGCUACUUAACUGCCACGUUUUUUUUCAAACACUUCUCUUCAUGUUCACUGCUGAGUGUGCCAGACUAGCUUAGCCACAAGAAUCCAUGGAUUCUCCCAUCUGUUUCUCCUACCCCACUAUAGAAACUAGGAUUAAAGACUCGGGCUACUACAUAGGCUUUUAACCUGACUCUAGGGAUUGGAAUCCAGAUCCUUACGCAUGAAGCACUGUAGUGGGAAUUUUGUUUACUUUAAAAACCCAAUUAUGUUAUGUAUGUUUUCUUUGCUUUAAUGCAAGGUCUGGGAUGUGGGUUUUCUUCAGUUUGUUCGCAGCCAUUAACUAUGAUUGUCUAGUGCUCUCAGAGGGGCAUAAUUUUUGUCAGCUGCAAAUAGUUUAAUUCUGGGGACAAUGGAGAAGGAAUUGAUGCCAUAAACUGGAAAGGAUCAGUAGAUGCUCAGAAGAAGAGGAGGAGGAGGAAGAAAAAGAAAUCCAGCCCUACAAAGGAUAAUAGAUGGAAAACUCCAACACAAGGAGGGAAACAACACCCUAGAAUAAGCAAGAAAGUAAUCUCCAGCCAUUUGCCUACGAAUUUCAUAAAGUCGUUGUUUUUGAUAGCUGAGUAAUAUUCCAUUGUGUAGAUGUACCACAUUUUCUGUAUCCAUUCCUCUGUUGAAGGGCAUCUGGGUUCUUUCCAGCUUCUGGCUAUUAUAAAUAAGGCUGCA
Molecule: long non-coding RNA, 1096 nt
Organism: Rattus norvegicus (Norway rat)
Lineage: Eukaryota; Metazoa; Chordata; Mammalia; Rodentia; Muridae
Source: Ensembl